Molecule: ribosomal RNA, 114 nt
Filed under: Sinocyclocheilus rhinocerous
Lineage: Eukaryota; Metazoa; Chordata; Actinopteri; Cypriniformes; Cyprinidae
Source: RNAcentral
ACCACAGCCAUAUCACCCUGUAGCCCACUGGUUGCCCACUGAAGCUAAGCAUGGUUGAGCCUGGUCAGUACCUGGAUGAGAGACCUCCUGGGGAAAACUAGGUUGCUGCUGGAA